RNAcentral lists this ribosomal RNA (309 nucleotides) under Priestia megaterium. Its description in RNAcentral is "bacterial SSU rRNA". It matches the Rfam family "Bacterial small subunit ribosomal RNA", at positions 1 to 298 of the family's 1533-position model. Lineage: Bacteria; Bacillati; Bacillota; Bacilli; Caryophanales; Bacillaceae. The record is from RNAcentral.
UCUUCGGAGAGUUUGAUCCUGGCUCAGGAUGAACGCUGGCGGCGUGCCUAAUACAUGCAAGUCGAGCGAACUGAUUAGAAGCUUGCUUCUAUGACGUUAGCGGCGGACGGGUGAGUAACACGUGGGCAACCUGCCUGUAAGACUGGGAUAACUUCGGGAAACCGAAGCUAAUACCGGAUAGGAUCUUCUCCUUCAUGGGAGAUGAUUGAAAGAUGGUUUCGGCUAUCACUUACAGAUGGGCCCGCGGUGCAUUAGCUAGUUGGUGAGGUAACKGCUCACMAAGGCAACGAUGCAUAGCCGACCUGAGAG